UUGUUGUAAAUUAGCUAAAAUUAACCCAAUUUGAUAGAAAUAAAAAGUAAAAUUCGAGUUUUGAGAAGAGAUGAAUUAAAAUCGGCACCUUCCUAUUUUAUGUAAACUCCCAGAUGUGUUUUCCUCUCUCUCUCUCUCUCUCUCUCUCUCUCUCUCUCAAACUGCUGAUAUCUUUGUUUUACUUGUUUCUGUUGACUGAAGCUAAAAUACUUGAAGGGCCACAUGAGGACCUGGAAAGCCAUCUUCAAGCAAUUGAGCAACUAAGAAACAACAUUAGGUUUUUUAGUGACAACAAAAGCUUCAAGAGCUCAGCCAUAUAAAUAAUUUACUAGCCAAGGCUAUAACCAAGCUGGAAGAAGAAUUUAAGCAGAUUUUGUCAUCAUACAGGUACGUUUUACUUUCUUUGUGCAACAACUCAUAAUUUUGUAGCCAUACCAUUAUUUUAAACUAGACAUUUUUCUUGCAUAUAAUUUUAUGGUGGUAGGUCACCCAUCACGACAAAGUCUUGAACUACAUAUAUAUAGUGCAUGUGUAUCCACUAACCUUCUGUGUGAAGGUAGUACACUAACAUUGUGCUCACAAUUUUUUAGCUGAUAUUGAGAAUAUUUUUUAUGUUUCCCCAUAACUUUUCCCUACGUUUUAACCACACAAGCAAUCCUCUUAUAUUGAUUUGCAUGUUCUGAACAACUAUCCUUCUGCACUCUUAAAAAAAAGGUUGAUCCUCAACCUUGAGGGCCCCACUACCCCGCUUUUAGCGUAUCGUGAGGGAGGUAAAUCGCAGGAUGUGUCCCAACAGACCAAGGAACAAGAGUUUGCCCGUACACUGUGCCCACAAAGAGUCCAAUUCCAUAUCUCAAGAAUUAAACCCUUACACUGCGGCUGUCAGCAAAACUGAGGCUGCAGGCUAUAGUUGCUUCAUUCUGUUUAUCAUCUCCUCCGAAAGUAAACUUGAACAUAGACAAUAGAGCAUCAAAAUUCAAGAAGGUGAAAAGAGUCGAAGGCAAACAAAAUGGGUUCAGUGAGAAAAAUCCAUACGGUAGGAAAGGCAACACAAGACAGUUUGUCAGAUACUAGGACGAGGCCUUUGGUUGAGAACGGGUAAUAACCCACAGAAGUACAUCAUGUACAAUCCAGAGGAUCCCGAACAUGUGCCUGGUGAAUUUUUCGAGGGUAAGACCUUAAACGACCACAAGCGGUAGACAUCCUAUCCAAUGCUCUCGACUUUUAGUCUUUUAUUAGACAACUAUGGGGUCACUUUCUUGUACAUGAUGUUUCUUCAUUUUUCUGUUAAGGUGGUUUUGUGCUUGACUGCAUGCAUAUUGUAAUAUCCUGCGUUGCAGAGAAGCUUAUUCAUAAUUGCUUGUUUUCUUGAUGGAGAAAGGAUAAUGAUGUUCAAAUGUCUUACCAUUAGACUCGCUAAGGCAUUUUUUUAGGUGCUUAUUUGGAUAGAAAGCAUUUGCUACGUAUUGCUCAAAAAGAGGCUUUUAGUAGUGCAAAAUAUGCCAGUAAUUCAUCUAUUCUACUGCAAGCCUUGAUAUUCUUUUCUA
Molecule: long non-coding RNA, 1547 nt
Organism: Olea europaea var. sylvestris
Lineage: Eukaryota; Viridiplantae; Streptophyta; Magnoliopsida; Lamiales; Oleaceae
Exons: 2
Source: RefSeq, a predicted model, not a curated record